UACAGAGGUCUCAAGCGUUGUUCGGAUUCAUUGGGCGUAAAGGGUGCGUAGGUGGCGCGCUAAGUCAGGUGUGAAAUUUCGGAGCUUAACUCCGAAACUGCAUUUGAUACUGGUGUGCUUGAGGACUGGAGAGGAGACUGGAAUUCAUGGUGUAGCAGUGAAAUGCGUAGAGAUCAUGAGGAAGACCAGUGGCGAAGGCGGGUCUCUGGACAGUUACUGACACUGAGGCACGAAGGCCAGGGGAGCAAACGGG
This 253-nucleotide ribosomal RNA is filed under the name uncultured bacterium. Its description in RNAcentral is "partial 16S ribosomal RNA". It matches the Rfam family "Bacterial small subunit ribosomal RNA", at positions 524 to 776 of the family's 1533-position model. The record is from RNAcentral.